RNAcentral lists this ribosomal RNA (468 nucleotides) under uncultured bacterium. RNAcentral's name for it is "partial 16S ribosomal RNA". It matches the Rfam family "Bacterial small subunit ribosomal RNA", at positions 28 to 507 of the family's 1533-position model. The record is from RNAcentral.
GACGAACGCUGGCGGCGUGCUUAACACAUGCAAGUCGAACGGAAAGGCCCUGCUUUUGUGGGGUGCUCGAGUGGCGAACGGGUGAGUAACACGUGAGUAACCUGCCCUUGACUUUGGGAUAACUUCAGGAAACUGGGGCUAAUACCGGAUAGGAGCUCCUGCUGCAUGGUGGGGGUUGGAAAGUUUCGGCGGUUGGGGAUGGACUCGCGGCUUAUCAGCUUGUUGGUGGGGUAGUGGCUUACCAAGGCUUUGACGGGUAGCCGGCCUGAGAGGGUGACCGGCCACAUUGGGACUGAGAUACGGCCCAGACUCCUACGGGAGGCAGCAGUGGGGAAUAUUACACAAUGGGCGGAAGCCUGAUGCAGCAACGCCGCGUGCGGGAUGACGGCCUUCGGGUUGUAAACCGCUUUCGCCUGUGAUGAAGCGUGAGUGACGGUAAUGGGUAAAGAAGCACCGGCUAACUACGUG